This 67-nucleotide transfer RNA is filed under the name Boa constrictor (boa). RNAcentral's name for it is "tRNA-Glu". Lineage: Eukaryota; Metazoa; Chordata; Lepidosauria; Squamata; Boidae. The record is from RNAcentral.
GUUUUUAUAGUUGAUGUUACAACGGUGGUUUUUCAGACCUCAGGUCUCGAUAAUUCGAGUAAAAAUU